AAGUGAGGACGACCUCACCGCUCUUAUCACUAUCGGGGACGACCCCA
This is a non-coding RNA of Vibrio harveyi, 47 nucleotides long. Lineage: Bacteria; Pseudomonadati; Pseudomonadota; Gammaproteobacteria; Vibrionales; Vibrionaceae. The record is from Rfam.